CCGCAGCCCUGGGGACGGCUCCUGCGUCUGGGCGCGGAGGAGGGCGAGCCGCACGUCCUCCUGAGGAAGCGGGAGUGGACCAUCGGGCGGAGACGAGGUUGCGACCUUUCCUUCCCCAGCAAUAAACUGGUCUCUGGAGAUCACUGUAGAAUUGUAGUGGAUGAAAAAUCAGGUCAGGUGACACUGGAAGAUACCAGACGGAGUCUCGCUCUGUGGCUCAGGCUGAAGUGCUGUUGGUGCGAUCUCGGCUCACUGCAACCUCCGCCACCCGGGUUCAAGCGAUUCUCCUGCCUCAGCCUCCCGAGUAGCUGGGAUUACAGCACCAGUGGAACAGUGAUUAACAAGCUGAAGGUUGUUAAGAAGCAGACAUGCCCUUUACAGACUGGGGAUGUCAUCUACUUGGUGUACAGGAAGAAUGAACCGGAACACAACGUGGCAUACCUCUAUGAAUCUUUAAGUGAAAAGCAAGGCAUGACACAAGAAUCCUUU
This 489-nucleotide long non-coding RNA is filed under the name Homo sapiens (human). Its description in RNAcentral is "HSALNT0197873". Lineage: Eukaryota; Metazoa; Chordata; Mammalia; Primates; Hominidae. The record is from RNAcentral.